GCCCGGCUAGCUCAGUCGGUAGAGCAUGAGGCUCUUAACUUCAGGGUCGUGGGUUCGAGCCCCACGUCGGGCG
Molecule: transfer RNA, 73 nt
Filed under: Carlito syrichta (Philippine tarsier)
Lineage: Eukaryota; Metazoa; Chordata; Mammalia; Primates; Tarsiidae
Description: tRNA-Lys (CTT) (tRNA-Lys-CTT-4-1)
Rfam family: tRNA
About the family: Transfer RNA (tRNA) molecules are approximately 80 nucleotides in length. Their secondary structure includes four short double-helical elements and three loops (D, anti-codon, and T loops). Further hydrogen bonds mediate the characteristic L-shaped molecular structure. tRNAs have two regions of fundamental functional importance: the anti-codon, which is responsible for specific mRNA codon recognition, and the 3' end, to which the tRNAs corresponding amino acid is attached (by aminoacyl-tRNA synthetases). tRNAs cope with the degeneracy of the genetic code in two manners: having more than one tRNA (with a specific anti-codon) for a particular amino acid; and 'wobble' base-pairing, i.e. permitting non-standard base-pairing at the 3rd anti-codon position.
Source: Rfam by way of RNAcentral